Molecule: long non-coding RNA, 376 nt
Filed under: Phoenix dactylifera (date palm)
Lineage: Eukaryota; Viridiplantae; Streptophyta; Magnoliopsida; Arecales; Arecaceae
Description: long non-coding RNA (PDAC_LNC016398)
Source: RNAcentral
GGAUGAGUGAACCCAACUAGAGAGAUAGAGUCAUCUUAUUAUUAUUUUAAAUAUAUUAAGAGGAAGGGAAUGGGAAGACCCUUUCCCUUUCUCUUUUCUUCCUUCUUCCCGACGGAAAGGGGGAAAGGGCGCUCGGCAGCAGGCGGCCCACGGCCGGCGACGCUCCCUGGUCGUCGGCCUGUGGUGGUGCCGGCGGUGCCACGCCCGGCGACGGCCGGCCGGAACGAGAGAGAAGGCCGAACAAGGCUCGGCUUCUCCAUCAAUCCGGCGGCUUCCCGGCCACAUUCCCAAAGAGAUAAUGACCAAAGACGAUGGAGGAGGAAGAGAAGGUGCUCACCUUGCCUCCGUCGAGGUCCUCCCGACGGAUCGACGGCGA